GACGGGGGGGGGCAAGUGUUCUUCGGAAUGACUGGGCGUAAAGGGCGCGUAGGCGGUGCGGUAAGUCUGCAGUGAAAUCUCUGGGCUCAACUCAGAGUCUGCUGUAGAAACUGCCGUGCUUGGGUGUGGGAGAGGUGAGUGGAAUUCCACGUGUAGCGGUGAAAUGCGUAGAUAUGGUGGAGGAACACCAGUGGCGAAGGCGACUCUCUGGUCUGUAACUGACGCUGGAGGCGCGGAAAGCGUGGGGAGCAAACAGG
Molecule: ribosomal RNA, 257 nt
Filed under: uncultured bacterium
Lineage: Bacteria
Description: partial 16S ribosomal RNA
Rfam family: Bacterial small subunit ribosomal RNA
Source: RNAcentral